RNAcentral lists this ribosomal RNA (463 nucleotides) under Vreelandella stevensii. RNAcentral's name for it is "partial 16S ribosomal RNA". It matches the Rfam family "Bacterial small subunit ribosomal RNA", at positions 338 to 795 of the family's 1533-position model. Lineage: Bacteria; Pseudomonadati; Pseudomonadota; Gammaproteobacteria; Oceanospirillales; Halomonadaceae. The record is from RNAcentral.
CCUAGGGGGCUGCAGUGGGGAAUAUUGGACAAUGGGCGAAAGCCUGAUCCAGCCAUGCCGCGUGUGUGAAGAAGGCCUUCGGGUUGUAAAGCACUUUCAGUGGGGAAGAAAGCCUUGGGGCUAAUACCCUCGAGGAAGGACAUCACCCACAGAAGAAGCACCGGCUAACUCCGUGCCAGCAGCCGCGGUAAUACGGAGGGUGCGAGCGUUAAUCGGAAUUACUGGGCGUAAAGCGCGCGUAGGCGGUCUGAUAAGCCGGUUGUGAAAGCCCCGGGCUCAACCUGGGAACGGCAUCCGGAACUGUCAGGCUAGAGUGCAGGAGAGGAAGGUAGAAUUCCCGGUGUAGCGGUGAAAUGCGUAGAGAUCGGGAGGAAUACCAGUGGCGAAGGCGGCCUUCUGGACUGACACUGACGCUGAGGUGCGAAAGCGUGGGUAGCAAACAGGAUUAGAUACCCGUGUAGUC